Molecule: long non-coding RNA, 1314 nt
Organism: Helianthus annuus (common sunflower)
Lineage: Eukaryota; Viridiplantae; Streptophyta; Magnoliopsida; Asterales; Asteraceae
Exons: 3
Source: RefSeq, a predicted model, not a curated record
UUUCCCUCACCUGGUAGUUACCUCCACAUUUUCCUGCCCAUGAUCUCCACAACAACUCAACCUCCUUCGUAGUGCUCACAAUUUCAGUUUGCCGUCGGUUGUCUUAGGUCUCCUCCUCAUCCAUAAAACUGUCACCCCAACCCACAAUGUACAUCCCCAAAUCAAAACGCAAAAGUGGAGAGAUCAGAGGGUCCUCUUCCCCUCAGACCCCAUAUGCACCUCCUCACCCGUCGGUACAAUCAAUGACGUUUUAAAAGUUCAAGAUGUGAUUUAAAAAACAGAUGAUGGUCUCUUAGUCUUCAUCUCCCUUUCCCUCUUUUCUCUUUUCUGACUCCCUCUCCUCUUAAUCACUUGAAGAAAGUGUUGAAGGAUGAUGAAGAAGAAUAAGUGGGCACUGCAUGAACAAGCGCUUCUCAAAAUGCUACAAGCUCAACCGGGCUGCUGAACUUCAUAAUUUGUCUAAAUGGGCGAGAUGACUGUCGGUCCCAUAGAAGCCUUAUAUAUGGACGAAAUACAUGAAGGCAAUAGGUUGUUCAUCCAAAGAAAAACAUGCAUUUUGCUUGAAAUGAAAAGGUUAGUAGUGUAUGCUAUAUUGAGUUAUCUCAUAAUACCUUACAGUUUUGAUGAAACCUGAAGUGGAGAUCUAUAUAUCCUUUUUUUAGUAAGGUUGAUAAUUGUACUAACUAUAUGCAGAUAGAAUGUGUCAAAGAGUAGAUAUAAUAUGAAGCAUUUAUAUAUACAAAUUUGAAUCCAUGUAAUUUAGUAGCAAAAUAACUCGUGUUAGUUUUAGCAGCCAUAAUUUCUUUAGCAACCCCUUUCAUAACCUGAAUAUCGAAUAACCGAACUUAUUUGAGUUGGUCCUCGGUUGAAGUGUCGAGCCACCAAAACCUGACUAACCCGAAACACCGAUAAAAAAUACCUGAUAAACACCCCUCACUUUAUGUAUUGAAUAUAAUAUAUUUUUGGAACUCCUAUAACUAAUCUUGAUGUUUAACUACUCAUAUUAACUUAGUCUCGAUGGUUUGCAGAUUUACAUCUUUUGUCAUGUAGGUUCUUUGUAGGAGGAAGAAUAUGUUGGAGAUCUGUAUUGUGUUCUUUGGGUGGGUCGUGGGUCGUGGGUCCCACGGUGUGACUAUGCCAACAACAUAAUCAUUCUAGAUUCAUAUAUGUUAAAUUUGCCUACCAUUUACUUUUGCAUUUAAAGGACACAAUUUCGUGUUUUAGUACUCUAUCAGCUUUAUUUUCUAUCAUUUUGUGGUUGUAUAAACCGUUGACAUUUGUUUUGCUUUUAUAAAUUAAAGAUUGGUGCUUUUA